This 371-nucleotide RNase P RNA is filed under the name Clostridiaceae bacterium. RNAcentral's name for it is "RNase P RNA component class A". It matches the Rfam family "Bacterial RNase P class A". From Rfam's summary of the family: Ribonuclease P (RNase P) is a ubiquitous endoribonuclease, found in archaea, bacteria and eukarya as well as chloroplasts and mitochondria. Its best characterised activity is the generation of mature 5'-ends of tRNAs by cleaving the 5'-leader elements of precursor-tRNAs. Cellular RNase Ps are ribonucleoproteins. The record is from RNAcentral. Lineage: Bacteria; Bacillati; Bacillota; Clostridia; Eubacteriales; Clostridiaceae.
UGAGUAAGUCAGAUGGUCGCUGCCUCAUUUGAGGGAGAGGAAAGUCCGAGCUCCAUAGGGCAGGGUGCCGGGUAAUACCCGGUGAAGGUGACUUCAAGGAAAGUGCAACAGAGAUAUACCGCCUGCAUGAUAAUAUACCCGAAUUGUUUUGGGACUAUCAAUCAGGUAAGGGUGGAAAGGUGAGGUAAGAGCUCACCAGCGCAUUGGCGACUUUGCGGCUAUGUAAACCCCAUCUGGAGCAAGACCGAAUAGGAGGGUAAAAGCAUCGGCCCGGUGUGCCCUCGGGUAGUGUCGCUUGAGCCAACUGGUAACAUUUGGCCUAGAUAGAUGACCGUCAAACACAGAACUCGGCUUACAGAUUUACUCAAUGA